CAGGCUUAACACAUGCAAGUCGAGGGGCAGCAUGGUCUUAGCUUGCUAAGGCCGAUGGCGACCGGCGCACGGGUGAGUAACACGUAUCCAACCUGCCGUCUACUCUUGGACAGCCUUCUGAAAGGAAGAUUAAUACAAGAUGGCAUCAUGAGUCCGCAUGUUCACAUGAUUAAAGGUAUUCCGGUAGACGAUGGGGAUGCGUUCCAUUAGAUAGUAGGCGGGGUAACGGCCCACCUAGUCUUCGAUGGAUAGGGGUUCUGAGAGGAAGGUCCCCCACAUUGGAACUGAGACACGGUCCAAACUCCUACGGGAGGCAGCAGUGAGGAAUAUUGGUCAAUGGGCGAGAGCCUGAACCAGCCAAGUAGCGUGAAGGAUGACUGCCCUAUGGGUUGUAAACUUCUUUUAUAAAGGAAUAAAGUCGGGUAUGGAUACCCGUUUGCAUGUACUUUAUGAAUAAGGAUCGGCUAACUCCGUGCCAGCAGCCGCGGUAAUACGGAGGAUCCGAGCGUUAUCCGGAUUUAUUGGGUUUAAAGGGAGCGUAGAUGGAUGUUUAAGUCAGUUGUGAAAGUUUGCGGCUCAACCGUAAAAUUGCAGUUGAUACUGGAUAUCUUGAGUGCAGUUGAGGCAGGCGGAAUUCGUGGUGUAGCGGUGAAAUGCUUAGAUAUCACGAAGAACUCCGAUUGCGAAGGCAGCCUGCUAAGCUGCAACUGACAUUGAGGCUCGGAAGUGUGGGUAUCAAACAGGAUUAGAUACCCUGGUAGUCCACACGGUAAACGAUGAAUACUCGCUGUUUGCGAUAUACAGCAAGCGGCCAAGCGAAAGCGUUAAGUAUUCCACCUGGGGAGUACGCCGGCAACGGUGAAACUCAAAGGAAUUGACGGGGGCCCGCACAAGCGGAGGAACAUGUGGUUUAAUUCGAUGAUACGCGAGGAACCUUACCCGGGCUUAAAUUGCAGAUGAAUUACGGUGAAAGCCGUAAGCCGCAAGGCAUCUGUGAAGGUGCUGCAUGGUUGUCGUCAGCUCGUGCCGUGAGGUGUCGGCUUAAGUGCCAUAACGAGCGCAACCCUUGUUGUCAGUUACUAACAGGUUCCGCUGAGGACUCUGACAAGACUGCCAUCGUAAGAUGUGAGGAAGGUGGGGAUGACGUCAAAUCAGCACGGCCCUUACGUCCGGGGCUACACACGUGUUACAAUGGGGGGUACAGAGGGCCGCUACCACGCGAGUGGAUGCCAAUCCCCAAAACCUCUCUCAGUUCGGACUGGAGUCUGCAACCCGACUCCACGAAGCUGGAUUCGCUAGUAAUCGCGCAUCAGCCACGGCGCGGUGAAUACGUUCCCGGGCCUUGUACACACCGCCCGUCAAGCCAUGGGAGCCGGGGGUACCUGAAGUGCGUAACCGCGAGGAGCGCCCUAGGGUAAAACUGGUGACUGGGGC
This 1434-nucleotide ribosomal RNA is filed under the name uncultured organism. Its description in RNAcentral is "16S ribosomal RNA". It matches the Rfam family "Bacterial small subunit ribosomal RNA". The record is from RNAcentral.